This 30-nucleotide non-coding RNA is filed under the name Mus musculus (house mouse). Lineage: Eukaryota; Metazoa; Chordata; Mammalia; Rodentia; Muridae. The record is from RNAcentral.
UCCAACAAAUAGUGUUCCAUGCUCUAGCUA